CACGGGGGGAGCAAGCGUUGUUCGGAAUCACUGGGCGUAAAGGGCGUGUAGGCGGUCUGGUAAGUGGGAUGUGAAAGCCCCCGGCUCACCCGGGGAUCUGCAUUCCAAACUGCCAGACUUGAGUAUGGGAGAGGACAGGGGAAUUCCUGGUGUAGCGGUGAAAUGCGUAGAUAUCAGGAGGAACACCGGUGGCGAAAGCGCCUGUCUGGCCCAAUACUGACGCUGAUGCGCGAAAGCUAGGGGAGCAAACGGG
Molecule: ribosomal RNA, 253 nt
Filed under: uncultured bacterium
Lineage: Bacteria
Description: partial 16S ribosomal RNA
Rfam family: Bacterial small subunit ribosomal RNA
Source: RNAcentral